Molecule: non-coding RNA, 229 nt
Filed under: Desulforamulus hydrothermalis
Lineage: Bacteria; Bacillati; Bacillota; Clostridia; Eubacteriales; Peptococcaceae
Also listed under: 1 other name
Description: Desulfotomaculum hydrothermale T-box sequence
Rfam family: T-box leader
About the family: Uncharged tRNA acts as the effector for transcription antitermination of genes in the T-box leader family. T-boxes are found upstream of many aminoacyl-tRNA synthetase genes and some amino acid biosynthetic genes usually in Gram-positive bacteria.
Source: RNAcentral
GCAACGCCAAUGAGCGGGAAAGUAAAAUGAUGGGAGCUGGACAGAGAGCCCGGGCUUGGUGGAAUCCGGGUCAGAGCCAUCCUUUGAAAAUCACCCGGGAGGUACCUGCUGAAACCUUUUGACACAGGGAGUAGGUUGGGUCGGUGCGCCGCCGUUAAAGGUGUUCGGAGUGUUCAGGCGUGGUCCUGUUCAUGAGGGUGGUACCGCGGGUAAUCAGCUCGUCCCUUUG